This 497-nucleotide ribosomal RNA is filed under the name uncultured bacterium. RNAcentral's name for it is "partial 16S ribosomal RNA". It matches the Rfam family "Bacterial small subunit ribosomal RNA", at positions 28 to 507 of the family's 1533-position model. The record is from RNAcentral.
GAUGAACGCUGGCGGCGUGCCUAAUACAUGCAAGUCGAGCGAACAGACGAGGAGCUUGCUCCUCUGACGUUAGCGGCGGACGGGUGAGUAACACGUGGAUAACCUACCUAUAAGACUGGGAUAACUUCGGGAAACCGGAGCUAAUACCGGAUAAUAUAUUGAACCGCAUGGUUCAAUAGUGAAAGACGGUUUUGCUGUCACUUAUAGAUGGAUCCGCGCCGCAUUAGCUAGUUGGUAAGGUAACGGCUUACCAAGGCGACGAUGCGUAGCCGACCUGAGAGGGUGAUCGGCCACACUGGAACUGAGACACGGUCCAGACUCCUACGGGAGGCAGCAGUAGGGAAUCUUCCGCAAUGGGCGAAAGCCUGACGGAGUAACGCCGCGUGAGUGAUGAAGGUCUUCGGAUCGUAAAACUCUGUUAUUAGGGAAGAACAAAUGUGUAAGUAACUAUGCACGUCUUGACGGUACCUAAUCAGAAAGCCACGGCUAACUACGUG